RNAcentral lists this long non-coding RNA (438 nucleotides) under Brassica napus (rape). Its description in RNAcentral is "long non-coding RNA (BNAP_LNC009213)". The record is from RNAcentral. Lineage: Eukaryota; Viridiplantae; Streptophyta; Magnoliopsida; Brassicales; Brassicaceae.
UUUGUGGAUUGAUGAAUAUUCUUUCAGAAUUUUUCAUCAAUAUGUUGUAUUUUUAAAUAAUUUUCUUAAAAACUGCUAUUUUUGGAAAGUUUUCAGUUUUUUUGAGAAAUAUUGUAGAUUUGGGUUUGUGAUUAAGAAAUUCGGCUAACAAGAAUAUUUUUGGAUAGAUGAGUAUUCUUUAAGAAUUUUUCAUCAAUAUGUUGUAUUUUUAAAUAAUUUUCUUAAAAACUGCUUCAUUUUUUAGAGAAAUGAUGUAGAUUUGGGUUUGUGAUAUAGAAAUUCGGAUAACAAUAAUAUUUGUGGAUAGAUGAGUAUUUUUUCUGAGUUUUUAAUCAAUAGGUUGUAUUUUUAAAUAAUUUUCUUAAAAACUGAUAUUUUUGGAAUGUUUUCAUUUUUUAGAGAAAUACCGUAGAUUAGGGUUUGUGAUUUAGAAAUUAU